AGUGAACGCUGGCGGUAUGCCUAACACAUGCAAGUCGAACGGCAUCUCAGUAACUUCUUGCUCUUACUUGUUGCCAGUGGCGUACGUGUCGCGUAUACAUCGUACUCUUCUUUUUCGUGUGGCUUCACGUAGGUAAACUUACUCUAAUACCGCAUACGACCUACCGUUGCAUUCAGUUGAUCUUCGGACCUUGCGCGCUUCUUUGAGCCGAUCUCGGAUUAGCUUGUUGGGGGGGUAAAGUCCCACCAAGGCGACGAUCCGUAGCUGGUGUGAGAGGAUGAUCAGCCACACUGGAAGUGAGACACGGUACAGACUCCUACGGGAGGCAGCAGUGGGGAAUAUUGGACAAUGGGCGAAAGCAUGAUACAGAAAUACCGCGUGGGAGAAGAAGGACUUAGGGUUGUAAAGCAAUUUUGUUGGGAAAGAAAAGAAGCAGGUUAAUACCAAGAUGUAAUGACGGUAACGAAAGAAUAAGCACCGGCUAACUACGUG
Molecule: ribosomal RNA, 492 nt
Filed under: uncultured bacterium
Lineage: Bacteria
Description: partial 16S ribosomal RNA
Rfam family: Bacterial small subunit ribosomal RNA
Source: RNAcentral